Molecule: transfer RNA, 71 nt
Filed under: Parcubacteria group bacterium
Lineage: Bacteria
Description: tRNA-Gln
Rfam family: tRNA
About the family: Transfer RNA (tRNA) molecules are approximately 80 nucleotides in length. Their secondary structure includes four short double-helical elements and three loops (D, anti-codon, and T loops).
Source: RNAcentral
UCGGGGAUCGUCUAAGGGUAGGACAGAGGCCUUUGGAGCCUUUAAUCGGGGUUCGAAUCCCUGUCCCCGAG